This is a non-coding RNA of Lactuca sativa (garden lettuce), 1371 nucleotides long. NCBI's taxonomy places the organism in Eukaryota, Viridiplantae, Streptophyta, Magnoliopsida, Asterales, Asteraceae. The record is from RefSeq and is a predicted model, not a curated record.
UCUUCUCUUCUCUUGGAAUGCAUAGUCUAUCCUUUUCUUCCUUUGACUCAGAAACCCUCAUAAUUAGCACUUUGAAUUGGCCUUUCAAUAAUUGAAUAGGUCAUAUAUGAGACCCUCUCCCCAUAUCAGUCCAUACCUAGGUAAAAAGGAAUCGAAUCUUAGUCAUCACUCCUCAGUCGAUUUCAAAACAUAACUCUAUAUUCAAGGGUAUAGAUUUUGGGUUGAAGUUGUUACGAUUUCAAGACCUAAACAUCAUAUACAUAAACCACCACUCUCCAUUCAAGAUGGUGCAACAAUGCAUACUAGUAAUUUUCUUUUUUAAUCAUUCGCCUUAUGCAACUUUCAAAGCUAGAGAGUAUCUUGAUAAGCCUGCAAUACAUAAGACAAUGAUGAAAGUAUGUAAGUUAUAUCUUAGAUUUCCUAUAUAAAUAGGGCUAACGUUAUGUUGAUGUCAUCAUGUUAGUGUUUUUCUUCUUAAAGAAUAGAACCUUCUUUUUUUGGCAGACAACCUGUGUGUAGUCUAAGUGACAUUUUUAUCAUUUUACAUGCCGUUCUAAAUUUUGUCUUUAAAUCGACUGGAAAAAUCAUAUUUUGAAGGUGGAAAUAUUAAAGGAAUAGUUGCAGAGGGAAAGAGAGUUGAGGAAACUGCUUGAGGCUGGAUGCACAAUGUCAAAGAAGAUGUUACCUUUACCAGGCUCCAUUGAUGAAAGUAUGUUACAGUCUUUUCUUAAGUCUUUUUUUGGAGUAUUUUUUUUUUUCAUUUAAUUGGAGGUAUGGCAUGUUUCAGCAGAUCUAUGUGUAUUGUUGUUUAAAUUUGAGGUAGGAGUAUGCUACUUCUCAAAGUCAGAAAGGUAAUAGUUUGAUAUCAUUUUGGCAAUGAAAAUUUUAAGCUAACCAUCUUAAAAUGCAUUUUAUUUUCGUUUGUUUAAAUUCUACCAAGACUAUUUUUGUUAAAAUCUUAACCAUCUCCUGUAACUAUCACUUUUUAUGAUGUGUUUGUGUUAACUUUAGCUUUGAGAAACUCGAAGAGGAUUCUUUAUUGCUUACACUUCCAUAUAGUUGCUCAGUUUAUAAGUCGAAAACUAAUAAUGCCGAUUGGGCAUAAGGGUGGUGACGGUGAGGAAGGACAUUCAGCAGGAGGUUGAAAUAUGUGAUUUUGAAAGCAUCCAUAGAGGAUAAUAUUUACCGAGGGGUUAGAAUAAACUGGAAUUUAACAUUUUAUACAAGUAAUAAUGCAUUAGGAAGUGUUAUUCAAAGUCAAUGAAAUGCACAUGCAAUUAUGGUAUUAUCAUUCCAGCUUACAUUCUUAACAAGAUCACCAUUUGAACUUGUAACAAGAUCACCAUUUGAACUUGUGAGAUGGAAGCUGGC